This 72-nucleotide transfer RNA is filed under the name Hordeum vulgare. Its description in RNAcentral is "tRNA-OTHER". Lineage: Eukaryota; Viridiplantae; Streptophyta; Magnoliopsida; Poales; Poaceae. The record is from RNAcentral.
GAGUGUGCAGCGCAGUGGUGUGCUCCUGUGUUGUGAUACAGGGGGUCUAGGGUUCGAUUCCCUCCCCAAUUC